RNAcentral lists this ribosomal RNA (336 nucleotides) under Triticum aestivum (bread wheat). RNAcentral's name for it is "partial small subunit ribosomal RNA". Lineage: Eukaryota; Viridiplantae; Streptophyta; Magnoliopsida; Poales; Poaceae. The record is from RNAcentral.
AUGAACAUUGAAUUACAUUUAUUAGGCCCCCAUGACUGCUGUGCAAUAUGCGAGCUUGCUCGGCUGGAGCAGAGUAGAGCACGUUCAGGGCAGUCCAACAUGACCUGGUCGGAGGAUGCUGGCCAUGUGCAAGCCCAGGUUAAGGACGCCGGCCACGAGCAUGAAGCCCACAACCUCGACCAGGCGAUCACGGCGUGUACUGUUGCCGAGGCGAAGCAUGGCCAGACCGAGCUUGACGGUGACGAGAAAGCAGUGGCGGAGCCAGCUUGGCCGGCGAGCCGGCGCAAAGUACACGGAGCUGUUGUCUCUCAGUUGUUUGCCCCUAUAAAAUGGUGA